GCCCUGCCCCCGGAGUUAGAACAGUAAGACUGUGCCUGUGGUAGCAGGACAAUGCAGCAGGUGCUUCAUGUACCCCUUUCACUUAAUUUUCUCAACUGAGGUGUAGGUACUAUUCUCCCAUUUUACAGAUGAAAAAAUGGGUUAGGUGGGCACUUGUCACAAGAGUGGCUCUGAAUGAAGAACCUCACAUUUGUAACUGCUUUGUAACUAAUGAGAUCCCUUGAAAUUUGGUAUUCUAGUUAACAGUAAAAAAAUAACAUUUAAAGAGAUUGUGUCAGUUUUGUGGUGGAAAGGGCCACAAAAGAGCGGUUAAAAAUAUACGCUUUUUAAUAGUAUUUAAUUGCAUUAAACCUAGUUUCCCACAAAGAGAGCACAUGUCAGCAUGUUAUGUGUUUCUAAUGUUCGUACCAUGAUGAGGUAUAAAAGAGGGAUUUAGGGGCUGUGACUGUGGCUCAGUGGUAGAGUGCCUAGCAUGCAUGAGGGAGGGUUCAAUCCUCAGCACCACAUAAAAAUAAAGAUAUUAUGUCCACCAAAAGGCUGAGGCAGGAGGAUGGUGAGUUCAAAGCCAACCUCAGCAAAAGCGAGGCAUAAGCAACUCAGUGAGAACCUGUCUCUAAAUAAAAUACAAAAACUGGCUGGGGAUGUGGCUCAUUGGUUGAGUGCCCCCGAGUUCAAUCUCCAGUACUCAAAAAAAAAAAAAAAAAGUCGGGAGAUUUAAAGGACACAGUGGUACUAGAUCACUAGAAUAUAUAAACAUUAGAUGGCUAUGGAGAAAGUUUUUUGGGAGGAAAUGUGAUGGUCUGCAAAGGUGCAUGCAGCCCAGAACACAUUCACUCCUUGUAACCAAUUUACUUGUCUAGCAGUUGACUUUUUUUUUUUAAUGAGCCUGAAUACAAAUGAGCUAUUUUCCAGAAACUUUAAAAUAAAGGUAUUUAAUAUUUACUUUGGAGUCAUUCU
RNAcentral lists this long non-coding RNA (957 nucleotides) under Marmota monax (woodchuck). The record is from RNAcentral. Lineage: Eukaryota; Metazoa; Chordata; Mammalia; Rodentia; Sciuridae.